UACAGAGGGUGCGAGCGUUAAUCGGAAUUACUGGGCGUAAAGCGCACGUAGGUGGCGACGUAAGUCGGGUGUGAAAGCCCCGGGCCCAACCUGGGAAUUGCAUUCGAGACUGCAUUGCUGGAGUACGGAAGAGGAAGGCGGAAUUCCCGGUGUAGCGGUGAAAUGCGUAGAUAUCGGGAGGAACAUCAGUGGCGAAGGCGGCCUUCUGGUCCAGUACUGACACUCAAGUGCGAAAGCGUGGGGAGCAAACAGG
This 253-nucleotide ribosomal RNA is filed under the name uncultured bacterium. Its description in RNAcentral is "partial 16S ribosomal RNA". It matches the Rfam family "Bacterial small subunit ribosomal RNA", at positions 524 to 776 of the family's 1533-position model. The record is from RNAcentral.